GACAGGGUUUCUCUGUAUUGUUUUGGAGGCUAUCGGUCCAGCCCAGCCUCGAACUCACAGAGAUCUGCCUGCCUCUGCCUCCCGAGUGCUGGGAUUAAAGGCGUGCGCCACCACCGCCCAGCUAGGAUGAUAAUUUUAAUGGCUAUAUAAUGCAUACAUUUAUUAAUGACAUCUAUAAUUGUACUAUAGAUAUAAAUUUAUGUAAAUAAUUAGAAAAUACCUAUGAUUGUCAUUAUUGAAGCAUAAUGUCAGAAUUCUUAAACUCAAAACACCUAAUUGUAUUAUCUUCCCUUAUCCUAGGCCAAAGUUUUAAGAAGGAAAACCAGAUAAUUUAAAGGGUUCCAACAGCAUAUAUACAAUUUUUUACUUUGAACAUAACACUUUCUAACAAUCUAUGGAUUACUUCUUAAAAUAUAGAUGAGUUAUGAAAGUUUUACAUAGUUACAAGAGGCUUUUAGAAACAAAUCUUAUGGAAUUAAUAUGUAAUUAGGUUAGCUAUCGCUUCAAUGUUGUUUAUAUGAUUUCCUGUAUGAUAUCUUCAUUAUGUGUGCCCUGCAUGAGUUUAUGUGCACCAUGUGUGUGGCAGCAUUGGGGAGCCAGAAGAGGACAUCAGAUACCUGGAACUGGAGUUGUGAACUUCCCUAUCCUGGCUGUGGCCACUCAUUGUUGGAUCCAGGAUAAACUAUCUCUUACUCCCUUUGAAGUGAGAACAGUGUUCUGCAGUGAGGAUGCAAGAUGCUUUACCAGGCUGGAGUCAUAAAAUUGUAAUACUAACCUCUUUGAUACCUGUGUGAUCCCGGUACAAGCCUCACUUCUGGGCAGUAGCAUGACUCAGGCAUUCUAAGCAGAGCCACUCUUUAUAAAAGGGAGUAAACACGAAUCACAUGGGAAGUCCUACUGUCAUGGUGUAGACAGUGGAAAUAACUAAAACAUUUUGUCUUGUCAGUUGCCAAUCUGCUCUUGUUGGUUUUAUUGUGUUUUCUUUGAAAAAUUUUUAUAGCUCUUAAUCUGUUGAUAUUCUACUACCAAAGAAGAAAAGGAAGGAGGAAGAAGGGGGAAGAGGAACAGGAAGAGAAGAAGCAGAAGCAGAAACCUCACCACUUUCAAUUAUGAAAUUAGUCCAUUUAACAGACACCACAGGAGGCUGAACUUAGAGCUGACCUUUAAAGAGAAAGAUAAGGAAAGGCUUCCAGACUGCAAAGGCGCAAAAAUGGAGCUGGAAAUGAAGAGCUCUGCCUGAUGCACAAAGAACUGGGAAUAGCGGUAGACUUAGCCUGAUCAUCUUUCUCUCUAGACCUCUCAUGUUGCUUAAAUUUGGCUAGCAAAAAGGAACUUUUGACAAUGGCUUCUCCGAAAAAAAAAUCAGUUACCUAGUGAUGAGGGACAAUCAAUGCCAAACUUGGAGAUGAUUUAUCAGAUUGUCUUCUGAGAAAAUGGUUCCAAGAUAAAGGUAGGAAUUGUCAUAGUCAAAAUGGAAUGGUUUAUGCCAAUCCUUCCCAAAGGAACACUAUCAGUCCCAAAGCAACUCAAGGGAGAGAGAGUUUAUUGUGCUUUAUGGUUCCAGAGGGAUUUGGAGUCCAUGGUGGCAGGAGGAGGCAUGGCAACAAGAAGCAGGCGCAACAGCAGGAGCAGGUCUUUGGGGGCUCACAUCUGGAACCAAGCAGGAAGCUGAAAGCAGUGAGCUGAAGCGGGCUGCUGGAUGACUGUCAAGGGGCUGCUAUUCUGGAGGAAGGGAAAGCCUGAAGCCUGGUGCCAGCUGGAGAAAGAGUGUGUAUCCUGAAAGGGAUCUCACUCUGUAAAGAGAAGCUUUUUCCUUGAGAGAAGCCUUCCCGCCAGCCUGGUUCCAGAGCCGCAUCAGUCCCAAAUAAACACACAGGAGGCUAUAUUAAUUAUGAA
Long non-coding RNA from Mesocricetus auratus (golden hamster), 1896 nucleotides. RefSeq lists it as uncharacterized. The record is from RefSeq and is a predicted model, not a curated record. NCBI's taxonomy places the organism in Eukaryota, Metazoa, Chordata, Mammalia, Rodentia, Cricetidae. The transcript is spliced from 2 exons.